Molecule: long non-coding RNA, 277 nt
Organism: Dermochelys coriacea (leatherback sea turtle)
Lineage: Eukaryota; Metazoa; Chordata; Testudines; Dermochelyidae
Exons: 6
Source: RefSeq, a predicted model, not a curated record
CUGUAUUCGCAAAAAAGAAAAGGAGAAGGGGAGUGCUUGUGGCACCUUAGAGACUGGCAGGUUUGUUGGAGCAUGGGCUUUCGUGGGCUACAGCUCACUUCAUCGGAUGCAUCCGAUGGGGUGGGCUGUGGCUCACGAGGGCUUGUGCUCUAGUGGAUUUGUUGGUCUCUGGGGUGCCACAAGUACUCCUUUUCUUUUUCAGAAUACAGACUAACACGGCUGCUACUCUGAAACCUCUCCUUACACUGGAAUAAACAUCAUACAGUAGAUGACCUCC